GUGGCGAAAUUGGUAGACGCACUGGAUUUAGGUUCCAGCGCCGCAAGGUGUAAGAGUUCGAGUCUCUCCGUCCGCACCA
This 79-nucleotide transfer RNA is filed under the name Pseudomonas sp. RNAcentral describes it as "tRNA-Leu". It matches the Rfam family "tRNA". Rfam says of the family: Transfer RNA (tRNA) molecules are approximately 80 nucleotides in length. Their secondary structure includes four short double-helical elements and three loops (D, anti-codon, and T loops). Further hydrogen bonds mediate the characteristic L-shaped molecular structure. tRNAs have two regions of fundamental functional importance: the anti-codon, which is responsible for specific mRNA codon recognition, and the 3' end, to which the tRNAs corresponding amino acid is attached (by aminoacyl-tRNA synthetases). tRNAs cope with the degeneracy of the genetic code in two manners: having more than one tRNA (with a specific anti-codon) for a particular amino acid; and 'wobble' base-pairing, i.e. permitting non-standard base-pairing at the 3rd anti-codon position. The record is from RNAcentral. Lineage: Bacteria; Pseudomonadati; Pseudomonadota; Gammaproteobacteria; Pseudomonadales; Pseudomonadaceae.